UCCACGAGUUUGCCGCCAGAGCACAGGUGUUAUGAAAACCACCCCUAAAGGCCAAAAUGGAAAAGGAAAAGAAGCACAUCAUUGUCAUCAUUGGACACGUUGAUUCGGGCAAGUCCACCCCUGCUGGCCACCUGAUCUACAAAUAUGGCAGCAUCGACAAAAGAACCAUCGAGAAAUUCGAGAAGGAGCCUGCUGAGACGGGAAAGGACUCCUUCAAGAAUGCCUGGGUCUUGGAUAAACUGAAAGCUGAGCAUGAACGUGGUAUCACCACUGAUAUUGCCCUGUGGAAAUUUGAGACCAGCAAGUACUACGUCACUAUGAUUGAUUCCCUGGGACACGAAGACUUCAUCAAAAACAUGACUACAGGCACAUCUCAGGCUGACUGUGCUGUCCUGAUUGUCGCAGCUGGUGUUGGGGAAUUUGAAGCUGGUAUCUCCGACAACGGGCAGACCCGUGAGCAUGCCCUCCUGGCUUACACACUGGGUGUGAAACAACUAAUUGUUGGCGUUAACAAAAUGGAUUCCACGGAGCCACCCUACAGCCAGAAGAGAUACGAAGAAAUUGUUAAGGAAGUCAGCACUUACAUUAAGAAAAUUGGCUACAAUCCCGACACAGUAGCAUUUGCGCCAAUCUCUGUUGGAAUGGUGACAACAUUCAGGAGUCAAGGGCUAACAUGCCUUGGUUUAAGGGAUGGAAAGUCACCAUAGAGAUGGUCACGCCAGUGGAACCAUGCUGCUUAAAGUACUGGACGGCAUCCUCCCACCAGCUCGUCCAACUGAUAAGCCCUUGCGUCUGCUUCUCCAGGAUGUCUACAAGAUUGGUGGUACUGGUGCUGUCCCUGGGCGCUGAGGGGAGACUGGCAUUCUCAAACCUCGCAUGGUGGUCACCUUUGCUCCAGUCAAUGUUACAGCUGAAGUAAAGUCUGUUGAAAUGCACCAUGAAGCUUUGAGUGAAGCCCUUCCUGGGGACAACGUGGGGUUCAAUGUCCGGAAUGUGUCUGUCAAAGAUGUUUGCUGUGGCAGUGUUGCUGGUGACAGCAAAAAUGAUCCACCAAUGGAAGCAGUUGGAUUCAUAGCUCAGGCGAUUAUCCUGAACUAUCCAAACCAAAUCAAUGCUGGCUAUGCCCCUGUACUGGAUUGUCACACAGGUCACACUGCAUGUAAGUUUGCUGAGCUGAAGGAAGAGAUUGAUCGCCGUUCUGGUAAGAAGCUGGAAGAUGGCCCUAAAUUCUUGAAAUCUGGUGAUGCUGCCAUCGUUGGUAUGGUUCCUGGCAAGUUCGUGUAUGUGGAGAGCUUCUCUGACUAUCCUCCUCUGGGUCAUUUUGCCAUCUGUGAUAUGAGGCAGGUAGUUGCAAUGGGUGUCAUCAAAGCAGUGGAAAGAAGCCUGCCGGAGCUGGCAAGGUCACCAAGUCUGCCCCCAAAGCUCAGAAGCCUAAAUGA
This is an RNA transcript of Carlito syrichta (Philippine tarsier), 1439 nucleotides long. It is a transcript of the gene named elongation factor 1-alpha 1 pseudogene, with no coding region annotated. NCBI's taxonomy places the organism in Eukaryota, Metazoa, Chordata, Mammalia, Primates, Tarsiidae. The transcript has a single exon. The record is from RefSeq and is a predicted model, not a curated record.